RNAcentral lists this ribosomal RNA (511 nucleotides) under uncultured Glomus. RNAcentral describes it as "SSU rRNA". It matches the Rfam family "Eukaryotic small subunit ribosomal RNA", at positions 569 to 1082 of the family's 1831-position model. Lineage: Eukaryota; Fungi; Glomeromycota; Glomeromycetes; Glomerales; Glomeraceae. The record is from RNAcentral.
AGCAGCCGCGGUAAUUCCAGCUCCAAUAGCGUAUAUUAAAGUUGUUGCAGUUAAAAAGCUCGUAGUUGAAUUUCGGGGUCAGCAAGUUGGUCGUGCCACUGGUAUGCACUGGCUUUACUGAUUCCUCCUUCUUGAAGAACUGUAAUGCUAUUAAUUUAGUGUUGCAGGGAAACAGGACUGUUACUUUGAAAAAUUAGAGUGUUUAAAGCAGGCUAACGCUUGAAUACAUUAGCAUGGAAUAAUGAAAUAGGACGUUUGAUCCUAUUUUGUUGGUUUCUAGGAUUGACGUAAUGAUUAAUAGGGAUAGUUGGGGGCAUUAGUAUUCAAUUGUCAGAGGUGAAAUUCUUGGAUUUAUUGAAGACUAACUACUGCGAAAGCAUUUGCCAAGGAUGUUUUCAUUAAUCAAGAACGAAAGUUAGGGGAUCGAAGACGAUCAGAUACCGUCGUAGUCUUAACCAUAAACUAUGCCGACUAGGGAUCGGAUGAUGUUAAUUUUUAAUGUACUCAUUCG